Non-coding RNA from Lentinula lateritia, 96 nucleotides. NCBI's taxonomy places the organism in Eukaryota, Fungi, Basidiomycota, Agaricomycetes, Agaricales, Omphalotaceae. The record is from the annotation of a GenBank genome assembly.
GCUCGCUUAGCUCAGUGGUAGAGCAUUGUACUUAUGAGGUUGCGAUAACACCUGCGCAUUAUGCAAGGGUCGGCAGUUCGACCCUGCCAGUGAGCA